RNAcentral lists this ribosomal RNA (440 nucleotides) under uncultured bacterium. RNAcentral describes it as "partial 16S ribosomal RNA". It matches the Rfam family "Bacterial small subunit ribosomal RNA", at positions 338 to 795 of the family's 1533-position model. The record is from RNAcentral.
CCUACGGGAGGCAGCAGUGGGGGAUAUUGCACAAUGGGGGAAACUCUGAUGCAGCGACGCCGCGUGUGGGAAGACGGUCCUCUGGAUUGUAAACCACUGUCCCCAGGGACGAAGAUGACGGUACCUGGGGAGGAAGCUCCGGCUAACUACGUGCCAGCAGCCGCGGUAAUACGGAGGAUGCGAGCGUUAUCCGGAGUUAUUGGGUUAAAGGGGUGCGUAGGCGGAAUGCCAAGUCAGCGGGAAACUCGCGGGGCUCAACCUCGCUCCGCCGUUGACACUGGCGUUCUUGAGUGGGCGAGAAGUAUGCGGAAUGCGUGGUGUAGCGGUGAAAUGCAUAGAUAUCACGCAGAACUCCGAUUGCGAAGGCAGCAUACCGGAGCCCAACUGACGCUGAAGCACGAAAGCGUGGGUAUCGAACAGGAUUAGAUACCCGAGUAGUC